This 29-nucleotide small RNA is filed under the name Bombyx mori (domestic silkworm). Its description in RNAcentral is "ovarian small RNA-22357". The record is from RNAcentral. Lineage: Eukaryota; Metazoa; Arthropoda; Insecta; Lepidoptera; Bombycidae.
UAGCCGAAGCCAUGGCGGGACAUGGCGAC